AGGCAAACUGUUGUGAGGACCAAGUCUGAAGCAACUAACUAUGACAGUGUGUAUGGAGAACCUAUUCCUGUUAAGGAACUUGCUGAACGCGUGGCUAGUUAUGUGCACCUUUGCACACUAUACUGGUGGCUCAGACCUUUUGGAUGUGGAGUCAUACUAGGAGGUUAUGAUAGAGAUGGACCACAAUUGUACAUGGUUGAACCUUCUGGUGUUUCC
Molecule: long non-coding RNA, 216 nt
Organism: Arachis stenosperma
Lineage: Eukaryota; Viridiplantae; Streptophyta; Magnoliopsida; Fabales; Fabaceae
Exons: 3
Source: RefSeq, a predicted model, not a curated record